Molecule: ribosomal RNA, 532 nt
Filed under: bacterium
Lineage: Bacteria
Description: bacterial SSU rRNA
Rfam family: Bacterial small subunit ribosomal RNA
Source: RNAcentral
UGCAGUCGAACGAGAUCUUCGGAUCUAGUGGCGCACGGGUGCGUAACGCGUGGGGAUCUACCAUAGGGUGCGGAAUAACUCAGAGAAAUUUGAGCUAAUACCGCAUAAUGUCUUCGGACCAAAGAUUUAUCGCCCUUUGAUGAACCCGCGUAAGAUUAGCUUGUUGGUGAGGUAAGAGCUCACCAAGGCGACGAUCUUUAGCUGGUCUGAGAGGAUGAUCAGCCACACUGGGACUGAGACACGGCCCAGACUCCUACGGGAGGCAGCAGUGGGGAAUAUUGGACAAUGGGCGAAAGCCUGAUCCAGCAAUGCCGCGUGAGUGAUGAAGGCCUUAGGGUUGUAAAGCUCUUUUACCAGGGAUGAUAAUGACAGUACCUGGAGAAUAAGCUCCGGCUAACUCCGUGCCAGCAGCCGCGGUAAUACGGAGGGAGCUAGCGUUGUUCGGAAUUACUGGGCGUAAAGCGCGCGUAGGCGGUUACUCAAGUCAGAGGUGAAAGCCCGGAGCUCAACUCCGGAACUGCCUUUGAAACUA